GGGUUAGUAGGUUGGUCGUGCCACCGGUACGUACUGGUCUCACUGAUUCCUCCUUCCUGAAGAACCGUAAUGCCAUUAAUUUGGUGUUGCGGGGAAACAGGACUGUUACUUUGAAAAAAUUAGGGUGUUUAAAGCAAGCUAACGCUCGAAUACAUUAGCAUGGAAUAAUGAAAUAGGACGAUCGAUCAUAUUUUGUUGGUUUCUAGGAUUGACGUA
Molecule: ribosomal RNA, 216 nt
Filed under: Glomeromycotina sp.
Lineage: Eukaryota; Fungi; Glomeromycota
Description: partial small subunit ribosomal RNA
Rfam family: Eukaryotic small subunit ribosomal RNA (bases 40-216)
Source: RNAcentral